UAAGGAAUAUUGCGCAAUGGGCGAAAGCCUGACGCAGCGACGCCGCGUGGAGGAUGAAGGUCUUCGGAUUGUAAACUUCUGUUAAGUGGGAAGAAAAAGCUGUUUUUAAUAGAAGCAGUUAAUGACGGUACCAUUAAAGAAAGCACCGGCUAAACUCGUGCCAGCAGCCGCGGUAAUACGAGUGGUGCAAGCGUUAUUCGGAAUCAUUGGGCGUAAAGGGUGUGUAGGCGGUAUGUUAAGUCUGUUGUUAAAGCCUCCGGCCUAACCGGAGAUAGGCAGCGGAAACUGGCGUACUAGAGGGUGGAAGAGAGAAGCGGAAUUCUCGGUGUAGCGGUAAAAUGCGUAGAUAUCGAGAGGAACACCGAUGGCGAAGGCAGCUUCUUGGUCCAUUCCUGACGCUGAAACACGAAAGCGUGGGGAGCAAACA
Molecule: ribosomal RNA, 427 nt
Filed under: uncultured bacterium
Lineage: Bacteria
Description: partial 16S ribosomal RNA
Rfam family: Bacterial small subunit ribosomal RNA
Source: RNAcentral